ACAUCUAUCUGGCCUCUUCGUUGUUCACGGUGAAACCUCUCGCCGGGCGGCACCCCAUUUGAUCAAAAUGGUUUUAUAUCAGUUUUACAUGUUUCUGUGGACAAGGACCUGUGAAGAGAUGAUGAAAAUGGGUGAGGAUGGACCUUGAUGAUCAGUGGAGGAGCAGGAGGCUUCUAAGUUCCAAGGGUUGUGGAACCAUCUUGCCGAACCUAAAACCAGCUGGUUAACUAUUCAAGUACAUAUUGGUUCAAAGAAGAUUUGAUUCAACAUCCAUUAUCACAAUCAAUUGGGGCAUUGUUUUGUGGAUUUCUUUUGGCAGAGUAGUUGCCCUCCGUUGGUGGAUUCUAAUGGAAUUUCUCUUGAACAAAAUUGGCUUCGAGCUUCGUUAAUGGCGGCCAAGACUCAAGGAAACGAAAUUGGUAUCGACAUGGGUACAUGCAACUCAUGAAUCGGUCAUUUCCAGGAAGAUUACGGAUUCAAAUCGGUCAAAAGCGGUUAUUAAAUUUUUUUUUUUUUUGAGUGAAUGACUCGGUGUAAAUCCGUACCUCCACCACUGUUACAUAAAGGUUUUUUUUUUUUUUUCUGUGGAUCAGAUCGAAGAUUAAGUAAGUGGAACGUGGAUGCUGUUAAAUUAAUCUAUUGCUAUUGCAUCAUUUUGUGACCAAACACUGUGCAAAGGAAUACAAUAUAGAAAUAACAAUUUUGAUAUUCUCAACUCUCA
This is a long non-coding RNA of Macadamia integrifolia, 721 nucleotides long. RefSeq lists it as uncharacterized. The transcript has 3 exons. The record is from RefSeq and is a predicted model, not a curated record. Lineage: Eukaryota; Viridiplantae; Streptophyta; Magnoliopsida; Proteales; Proteaceae.